UAUAAAUUUUAAUAAAAUAUUGUCACAAGAACAUCGCCAUCGCCACACUGCAAUGCAUUCUGGGUAAAUGACAUCUAAAGGUUGACUGUGUUAGCUCCAUCCAGCCAAAACAGCAAUGAGUGACAUCUUUAAGCCUUUUCAGUUUAAACUGGAACACGUUGAAAGCAAUGGGAAUGUAGAAACCACAAAGAGUAAUAAUGAGGAUGAGGAGAACCAAAUGGAGAAAGAGGACAGAGGGGAAGCUGGUAAUUUACUGCUGCUACCUUCAGCUUCAUAAAUGAAACAAUGAAUGACAUACCUCUGGUCGGAGUGUAUGAUCUGAUAAGGAGUUUUGUAACUUUGUGUCUGGUCUGGUAACAGCUGUCUUUGGUCAGGGUCAGGUCUUCGGUUCGGAAGUAAACAGGGCAGCAGUAGUGCCGCAGAUACUACUACUCUUUUAAAAGAGCUUCCGGUGCUGUCUGUCUGAUGUUUCUCCCAGCAUUAUUUGCUCUCUAGCCGGCGGCAGUGGGGUUUAGGCGCUUUGUGCAUAAAAACUGUCAGCAUGGCAUUUGUUUUUAGCUUGUAAAGGUAACGAUCAGUUGUCAGAGCCUUUGUCAGUUUUGCUUGUACAAAUUGUAACCCGUAAUUAGUCAAUUAGCCAGACUUUUAUUUUGCGGGCCUACUUCCUGUCUUGCCCUAAAAUCGUCAACUUAUUUAAAGCCCCGCCUCCAGUGCAGUAACACUCCACCUGUUCCACUGUGAUUGUGGCUGGCUGUUGGCGUCUUGCUGAACGUUUCAUACUGGAAAUCCAUCCAAAUCUUUGAAACAACUGAUUUGAACUAUUGACUGUCAGCGGUUGUUACCUGGGCCGUCACUGGAAUUCACAGCUGAUUGUAGUCUGGCACUCUCUGCUCAAAGGUAACCGUUGGGUUUGUGCAAGAUUUCUUCAGAUUGAAAAUAGGAUGUAGCUACAUUUAAUUUGAUAUUGCACAGUAUAUUUCUUUUUCUCAUUUUGCUUGAGUAUUUGAGUUAAUUUAUUUUAUUUUCCUUGAUUGAUAUUUUGAAAGUUAACUUUGAUUUCAACUUUAACCUUAAAUUGAUUAGUUGAAAUAUGAUUGUUCUUUUGUUUUAAAUUAUGGUUAAUUUAACCUGACAAAUGUUUAGUUUAAUUACUAGAUAUUUAAUAGUAUUUGAAUUGAUAUUUAUUGCAUUUGUAUGUUGCAUACUUAUUGGAUAAAAUAUUUAAUGGUUUCUUUUUGGCCUCUUAGGUCAGGUUUUUUAUGAUGGAUCAGAUCCUCAGAUCCUGAGCAAAUGAUGGUGAGCUAAGAGGACAAGACCUCUAGGAUUCUUGAAUUGGUUUAUUUGAAUUAGUGUAUUUGUAAUUGUUUUUUUGUUGUUGUUUUUGUUCCUUUUUUUUCCAAAAAAAUCAGUAAUACACAUACAUCAAACUAAAACAGUUUCUUUGUGUCUUCAUUCACACCUCAGGCUCCUUAAAGAACUGUUUUCUGAUACUGCUUUUGUAGCCGCAGUUAGCUGCGUGGCCUAUAAUUGUUACAAAAUGAAUCAAAGGAUGAAGAAAGACAACAUUUAGAUAAGUGGAUAUGGAAUAAAGAAAAAUAUGUCUGUAAAUAUAAGACUUUUUGUGGAAAAUCUGGAAAUGCACAUGCUGUAUGCAUCUGAUCACAUAGAAGAGUCCAAUGUUACUUAUAAGUACAAUAACGUUUUGAAUUUGACCAUUUUCAUCUUAAACCAGCAGUGCCUUCUCAGGGGUUUUUUCUACACAGUUAAACAAGAAAACCAGUCAACCAAAUUUACAAGUACGUUUUGGAUUGUUUUUAUCCAUGUAACAUGAAGAAAACUAUGUGGUUCUACAGUGGCUCAUAAAGAAAAAAUAUAGGGCAAGUCAGUGUCAAACAGCAUACAAGAAAACGAAUAAAUACAAAAUGCAUUACAAUCAAAUGUCCAGAGUUAAGGUGGAGCUAAACAUGUAACUAAUAAACAUUCCUUUGCAAUAACUUAUUAAAUAUCUGGUUUCAAGAGACUGAUGCUAUACGAGUCCUUUUAAAAUAAUUCCAAAAGAAUUAUCUGACCAACUUAAAACAUAGUCCAGUCAGGGGUUUUCAUGUAUCUUAAGAAGUAAAUGUAGUGUGGAAACAUAAGAAAAAUACAAAAAUACCUAAAUAUAAGAACCUGUUUGGACUAAUUGGCCCGUUUGGAUUUUAAAACCAACAACUAGAAGAGUCAAUGCUGUCUAUCAUGUAAAAUGCAGCCUUAUUGUGUUUCAUCAGCUGUACUUACAGACCGGCCAGAACGUACACAUCCAGGGUUCAAUCAAAGCCCAGGCCACAAAUCUUUAAAAAUAUGGUAAAAACAGAUACAAUUUAAAUAAUGGCUACAAUUAUGGAUGUUUUGUGGCAUAAUGAUGGAUACAAUGUGUCACAUUUUAUGGAGAUCAAAUAUAAACAGAAAAAUACAUAUAAAUAAGUCUGAAUAAAUAAAGCUAAUAAAAAUAAUAUUGACACUUAAUAGAAAAUGUAUUUCAGAAUGGUAAAAAACAAAACUGAUAUGUUCUAAGACAAUUUCAUUCUAUGAUUUUAUGGCACAAUCCUGUGAAGCGUUUUACUUUGUUGCAUUGUCCAUUUAGGAGAAACCAUUGUAAAAUAACUUGUGGUGUGCUUUGUGCCAUAAUACCAUCUCUCUCUACAUCUGUCCACAAAGUUGCUUUUUUUUUUAAUAAUGACUCGUACAUGCUUAAGGUUCCACAGUUUGCCACUUCCUAAAUACUCCCAAAGCUUGG
This is a long non-coding RNA of Poecilia latipinna (sailfin molly), 2776 nucleotides long. RefSeq lists it as uncharacterized. The transcript is spliced from 2 exons. NCBI's taxonomy places the organism in Eukaryota, Metazoa, Chordata, Actinopteri, Cyprinodontiformes, Poeciliidae. The record is from RefSeq and is a predicted model, not a curated record.